GUUUGCUGCCAUACUUCUAUGCCAGCUUGCUUUUGUCGGAUCUUGAAAGAUAAACAGGGCUGGGGCUGGUCAGUACCUGGAUGGGAGACCCCUUGGACACACCAGCAAUGCCACUG
RNAcentral lists this ribosomal RNA (116 nucleotides) under Monopterus albus (swamp eel). The record is from RNAcentral. Lineage: Eukaryota; Metazoa; Chordata; Actinopteri; Synbranchiformes; Synbranchidae.